RNAcentral lists this ribosomal RNA (495 nucleotides) under uncultured bacterium. RNAcentral's name for it is "partial 16S ribosomal RNA". It matches the Rfam family "Bacterial small subunit ribosomal RNA", at positions 28 to 507 of the family's 1533-position model. The record is from RNAcentral.
GAUGAACGCUGGCGGCGUGCCUAAUACAUGCAAGUAGAACGCUGAAGGAGGAGCUUGCUCUUCUGGAUGAGUUGCGAACGGGUGAGUAACGCGUAGGUAACCUGCCUGGUAGCGGGGGAUAACUAUUGGAAACGAUAGCUAAUACCGCAUGACAACAGUUAUUGCAUGAUAACUGUUUAAAAGGGGCAACUGCUCCACUACCAGAUGGACCUGCGUUGUAUUAGCUAGUUGGUGAGGUAACGGCUCACCAAGGCGACGAUACAUAGCCGACCUGAGAGGGUGAUCGGCCACACUGGGACUGAGACACGGCCCAGACUCCUACGGGAGGCAGCAGUAGGGAAUCUUCGGCAAUGGGCGGAAGUCUGACCGAGCAACGCCGCGUGAGUGAAGAAGGUUUUCGGAUCGUAAAGCUCUGUUGUAAGAGAAGAACGAGUGUGAGAGUGGAAAGUUCACACUGUGACGGUAUCUUACCAGAAAGGGACGGCUAACUACGUG